Molecule: ribosomal RNA, 283 nt
Filed under: uncultured bacterium
Lineage: Bacteria
Description: partial 16S ribosomal RNA
Rfam family: Bacterial small subunit ribosomal RNA
Source: RNAcentral
AACCUGCCCUCGUGUGGGGGAUAGCCGGGCUAACGCCCGGGUAAUACCGCAUACGGUCCUUUGGGGGAGUCCCUGGGGGAAGAAAGCUCCGGCGCACGGGGAGGGGUUCGCGGCCUAUCAGCUAGUUGGAGGGGUAAUGGCCCACCAAGGCGACGACGGGUAGCUGGUCUGAGAGGAUGGCCAGCCACAUUGGGACUGAGAGACGGCCCAGACUCCUACGGGAGGCAGCAGUGGGGAAUCUUGCGCAAUGGCCGAAAGGCUGACGCAGCGACGCCGCGUGUGG